Long non-coding RNA from Populus trichocarpa (black cottonwood), 2283 nucleotides. RefSeq lists it as uncharacterized. NCBI's taxonomy places the organism in Eukaryota, Viridiplantae, Streptophyta, Magnoliopsida, Malpighiales, Salicaceae. The transcript is spliced from 2 exons. The record is from RefSeq and is a predicted model, not a curated record.
UAUUUUUAAAAUUUUAUUUUGACACAACGUAUCAAAAUAAUCUAAAAAUAUUAAAAAAAUUUAUUUUAAAAAAAUCAUUUAUUUUAAAAUAUUUUUAUAAAUACCCUAUAAAAAUAACACGGUUAUAUGAUAAAAAUAAAAAUAAUAAUAACAAUGAUAAAAGAGGAUCAUAUUCACAGAGGACCCUAAACAAAGAUAAAAGAAAGAAUGGAGCGGUGAUAGUUGUUAAUUAAUGGAAAGCCCAAAGGUCAAAGACCCUAAAUCCACAAUAAAAGAAAGAGACCCGAAGGCCCAGUAACAUUAGAUGAGGGAAACAAAAUUGGCAGCCUAGGUGCAUCAUGGUGAAACUUUCAAUACUCAAUAUUCGCGCUCUUUACACCUGUCACUUCCGUCCUGUAAGAGAUCAGUAGAUAGCACUGGAGGAGGGAGAUGAGAGGGAGAGGGAGAGAGCAGCCUCGAAUCUGGCAUAGCAAUCAGCAAAACAGAGUCAUCGCUCAUUCCUUGUUAAUUCUGCAAAAGCAUGGAAAUAUGGUUCAACUUCUGAAUUUCAGUCCAGAUUGCAAAACUGGUGAUUGUUUAAAAACACCACGCAUAUUGUGAAGACUUGUUAUUUGAGAAUUUUAAGACAAAUGGGAAGAAAAAAUAAUGGAAGGAAGGAAACAUAGACAAAUGGGCCUAAUUUAUAUAUAUAUAUAUAUAUAUAUAGUUUGAGAUACUCAGUUAAAAAAAUAAAAAAUAAAGGUGAGAGGCCAAGUUUAGUUUGAUCCAAAGUUAAGUGUAAUUUUUUGGUCAUUUACCUUUUUUACCAAAGGAAUGGUUUUUGCUGGCAUUUUACCUAAACUCUGGAUUUUAAUACUCAAUGUUUAUAUAGGAAAAGGUACAACACACAAUUCUUGUUAUUUGUAGAUGCUUGCAGAUACACUUAGCUUUGAUACAAAUCAUCAAUCAAAGAAAAAUUUGAACGCAAAAAAAUUUAGAUGACCACCUUUUACUUGACUACCACAACAUUUUUUAAACCAUCUAUUGAUUGCCUAAAAGAAUAAUGCCGUGUUGCUAGUUUGAUCCAAUAGAUUAGAUUGAGAUACUGUUAGGAAUGCCCCUGCCUGUGAGUCCACCCUCUCUGGAGUAAUCUGUGGUGUUAGGAAAGAGUAAAGUGUAAGGAACUUCUACAGGCCCCACUCUGUUUUUCCAUCUCUUGUCAUUGUUCAUAUCCAUAAUUUUGUUUUCAAUUUCUACCAGCUUCCUUCGAAACCUCUCAAAUGCCGCCAGUGGUUCACUAUCCAAAGUCCAUUCAGUAGUAUCUCUCUGUCCAAGGUAAACCUCAUCAGUUGAAUGUCUUGAUAAAAUCUCAAUCAGUGAUACACCUAGGAGGGUUUGUAGCUGGGCUGUGAUUGUUUUCAGGUAGGCUACAUCUGGAUUUUUCUCAAGCUCAGCAUACUCAGGGGUCCCUGGUUCAGGCAUGAAUCGACGGCUUAAGGAUGGACGGUUAGGGAGGUAGCCAGCGUAAGGGUAUUGCCCAAAAUUGACAGCUGCAUGGAGGGCUGAAGCUAUCCAUAUGAUAAUGGUGCAUGUUUGUGUGACAUCAACUAGCGUCUGCAUCUCAGGCCACCACGGUUCAUCUUUCUUGUCACCAUGGCCUACAUUACAGAUCUCUGUCCACCAUGACUGGAGUUCACUAUCUCCUUGGAUCAAAUCAUCUGUGGGGUAGUAGAAAGCACAAUAUUCCUUAACCCACGUUUCAAUUGCUGACCAGAUUUCUAGCCCAUCAACAGCAUAGGGAUAAUCUUCUAUCAGAAGUCUGAGGCCAUGUGGCUGGCUUGAAUCUGGAACCGCCACUCCUCUGGAUGAUUUUGAAAGUUGGAUCAAUUUUAUUUUUGCUUUAGAUAAAAAGUGAAGAUAAGAGUGUAUUUUUAGGUUCCGAGCUUUACCUCUUGAGGAGAUCUGUGGGGAGUGCCUGCUCAGUGAAAACCCAGUUCUUGUAAACAAAAGAGGACAUUUCCAUGGCAUAUUUGGCUGGGAAAACAGUUAUCUCCAGUAUUCCACCAGCAUUGAUGAGGAUCUGCCUAGCCAAGGCAUUUAUAUUCAUUGUAUCACGAAAAUGAGGAUGUAAAAGCUUAUAGAUUGGGUGAAGGACACUCAAUUGUCUGUUUGUGGCUAUCACAAAUGGCUCUAUUACAGCAUGAGUGUUCAGCCUGUAAAUAUGAGCAGAAUCGUUCAGGUGUACAUUCUAUAGUAGAACAAAGUUUUACUUUAUGCCAUCAUGAAAUCCCUUUUGAUUUGAAA